UACGUAGGCAGCAAGCGUUGUUCGGAAUUACUGGGCGUAAAGGGUGCGUAGGCGGUGCUCUAAGUUUGGUGUGAAAUCUCCCGGCUUAACUGGGAGGGUGCGCCGAAAACUGGAGCGCUGGAGUGCGGGAGAGGAAAGCGGAAUUCCUGGUGUAGCGGUGAAAUGCGUAGAGAUCAGGAGGAACACCUGCGGUGUAGACGGCUUUCUGGACCGUAACUGACGCUGAGGCACGAAAGCGUGGGUAGCAAAUAGG
RNAcentral lists this ribosomal RNA (253 nucleotides) under uncultured bacterium. RNAcentral describes it as "partial 16S ribosomal RNA". It matches the Rfam family "Bacterial small subunit ribosomal RNA", at positions 524 to 776 of the family's 1533-position model. The record is from RNAcentral.